Molecule: small RNA, 1069 nt
Filed under: Pan troglodytes (chimpanzee)
Lineage: Eukaryota; Metazoa; Chordata; Mammalia; Primates; Hominidae
Description: processed transcript
Source: RNAcentral
CCCAGGCGCUCAUUAAAACAGCAGGUUGCUCCACACUGCCUCGUGUUGUCUGUUGGCACACUCUCAAGAGUUUGAACGGAUACAAGAAUCUUUCAUCUGGUGCCGAAACCCCGGGAGGGGCUCCGGUCUUCGUCCCCCGUGGACCUACCCCUCCGCCCCAGAAAGCAGGCCACAGCAGCCGGACAAAGGAAGCUCCUCAGCCUCCAGUUGCUUCUCUGUGCAUGCACAUCAGUCACUGAUCUCACCUACUGGCCCAGUCCCAAGGCACAAGGCCACUUGUGCCAGCAGUGUGAGUCAGCAAGAUAGCAGAAGCAGGAAGAGAGCCGGCCAGAAGACACCUACUCUGACUGGGAGACACGUACCCCUGAAGAUUGAGAAAGAGGCCAUCCAGGGAGUGAAGAUGGAAUGAGAAGAACAGAGAAACAAUGACAGAGUCCUUACAAACACCAUGAUACAAGAAGGCAAUGGGGAUAUGUUAUGAACAGAAAACCAAGUGGGAGUACUGUCACUGAGGAUGAGUUUCCAGAGAGAAUUAAUGCUGAAGAAGCUAUUGCAGACACUGCUGAGUAUGAAGAACUAAUUCAGACACUGCUGAGUAUGAAGAACUAAUUGGAGAAGGAAGCCGUUGUAUAGCAGAUGCAGAGCAGCAGAAAAAAUGGUAAUGACAAUAGAAGAUAAAUUAGAAAAUUUGGAAAAACCCAAACAGAUCAGCCAUAUUGAAGGGAAAAAGAAAAACAAAACAAAGUGGGAGAGGGCAGAAAUGUAGAACGGUAUACAUUCUUUUAACCCCAAGAAUGAAUGUAGCCAAGAACACAGUGGGGACUUAGGAGUCUCAGCACAGAGCAUUCUCUACUCCCUACUGCUCAGGCAAAGAACUCCUUCAUCAUGCAGAACCAAAACUGGUGUAGAGUCUUAAAUGACCUGGGUAUCUCUACGCAGAAGAAAGUGCUUUCCAUGUAAAAGGAUUAACUUGAACCUGGGUGCUCAAGGGACACCCUAGGCUGCUUAUCCCACUGAUUCUGAUCUGACUGUGUUAAGUAAUAAAUCAUGUGGUUACAUAUUCACAUUA